UGGGGGGGUGUGCCAGGGGAGGCGGUAGGACGUAGGGGGUCAGGGUGGGUGGGAAGUAUGGGGUGUAAAGGGUCAUGAGGCGGUGUGGCAAGUCGGGGUGGAGAUCUCGGGGCUUAACCCAGAGGCUGCGUCGGAAACGGCCAUGCUUGAGUGUGGGAGGGGCGCGUGGAAUUGCAGGUGUAGCGGUGAAAUGCGUAGAUAUCUGCAGGAACACCCGUGGCGAAAGCGGCGCGCUGGACCACAACUGACGCUGAAUGACGAAAGCUAGGGGAGCAAACAGGAUUAGAUACCCGGGUAGUC
Molecule: ribosomal RNA, 300 nt
Filed under: uncultured Pyrobaculum sp.
Lineage: Archaea; Thermoproteati; Thermoproteota; Thermoprotei; Thermoproteales; Thermoproteaceae
Description: bacterial SSU rRNA
Rfam family: Bacterial small subunit ribosomal RNA (bases 52-300)
Source: RNAcentral